GUGCUCAAUUUGGCAGUAUGUAUGCUAAGUUAGAAUGAUACAGAGAAGAUUAGCAUGGCCUCUGUGCAAGAAUGACAUGCACAUUCAGAAAGCAUCCCAUAUUUAG
This is a small nuclear RNA of Microtus ochrogaster (prairie vole), 106 nucleotides long. Lineage: Eukaryota; Metazoa; Chordata; Mammalia; Rodentia; Cricetidae. The record is from Ensembl.